RNAcentral lists this unclassified non-coding RNA (374 nucleotides) under uncultured Bacilli bacterium. Its description in RNAcentral is "contains 16S-23S intergenic spacer region". The record is from RNAcentral. Lineage: Bacteria; Bacillati; Bacillota; Bacilli.
UCCGGCUUUCACCGGCUGUCUCUCUAGAGUGCCCAACUUAAUGAUGGCAACUAAAAAUGAGGGUUGCGCUCGUUGCGGGACUGAACCCAACAUCUCACGACACGAGCUGACGACAACCAUGCACCACCUGUCUCCUUUGUCCCGAAGGAAAAAUCUAUCUCUAGACCUGUCAAAGGGAUGUCAAGACCUGGUAAGGUUCUUCGCGUAUCUUCGAAUUAAACCACAUGCUCCACCGCUUGUGCGGGCCCCCGUCAAUUCCUUUGAGUUUCAACCUUGCGGUCGUACUCCCCAGGCGGAGUGCUUAAUGGGUUUCCUUCGGCACUGGGGGCCUAAGCCCCCAACACCUAGCACUCAUCGUUUACGGCGUGGACUAC